RNAcentral lists this ribosomal RNA (471 nucleotides) under uncultured Pseudomonadota bacterium. Its description in RNAcentral is "bacterial SSU rRNA". It matches the Rfam family "Bacterial small subunit ribosomal RNA", at positions 506 to 975 of the family's 1533-position model. The record is from RNAcentral. Lineage: Bacteria; Pseudomonadati; Pseudomonadota.
UGCCAGCAGCCGCGGUAAUACGGAGGGUGCAAGCGUUGUCCGGAAUCACUGGGCGUAAAGGGUGCGCAGGCGGUUGAAUAAGUCGGGUGUGAAAGCCCCGGGCUCAACCUGGGAAUGGCAUUCGAUACUGUCCAGCUAGAGUCUGGUAGAGGGAAGUGGAAUUUCCGGUGUAGCGGUGAAAUGCGUAGAUAUCGGAAGGAACACCAGUGGCGAAGGCGACUUCCUGGACCAAGACUGACGCUGAGGUGCGAAAGCGUGGGUAGCAAACAGGAUUAGAUACCCUGGUAGUCCACGCCGUAAACGAUGAGAACUAGCCGUUGGACCCAUUUAAGGGUUUAGUGGCGCAGCUAACGCAAUAAGUUCUCCGCCUGGGGAGUACGGCCGCAAGGCUAAAACUCAAAGGAAUUGACGGGGGCCCGCACAAGCGGUGGAGCAUGUGGUUUAACUCGAUGCAACGCGCAGAACCUUACC